Molecule: ribosomal RNA, 466 nt
Filed under: uncultured organism
Description: partial 16S ribosomal RNA
Rfam family: Bacterial small subunit ribosomal RNA
Source: RNAcentral
ACUCCUGCGGGAGGCAGCAGUGAGGAAUAUUGGACAAUGGGUGGAAGCCUGAUCCAGCCAUCCCGCGUGCAGGAAGACGGCCCUAUGGGUUGUAAACUGCUUUUAUCUGGGGAUAAACCUACUUACGUGUAAGUAGCUGAAGGUACCAGAAGAAUAAGCACCGGCUAACUCCGUGCCAGCAGCCGCGGUAAUACGGAGGGUGCAAGCGUUAUCCGGAUUUAUUGGGUUUAAAGGGUCCGUAGGCGGACUGAUAAGUCAGUGGUGAAAUCCGACAGCUUAACUGUCGAACUGCCAUGGAUACUGUUAGUCUUGAGUAAGGUUGAAGUGGCUGGAAUAAGUAGUGUAGCGGUGAAAUGCAUAGAUAUUACUUAGAACACCAAUUGCGAAGGCAGGUCACUAAGUCUUAACUGACGCUGAUGGACGAAAGCGUGGGGAGCGAACAGGAUUAGAAACCCUGGUAGUCCCA